This 253-nucleotide ribosomal RNA is filed under the name uncultured bacterium. RNAcentral describes it as "partial 16S ribosomal RNA". It matches the Rfam family "Bacterial small subunit ribosomal RNA", at positions 524 to 776 of the family's 1533-position model. The record is from RNAcentral.
UACGUAGGGGGCUAGCGUUGUCCGGGAUCAUUGGGCGUAAAGCGCGUGUAGGCGGUCCGGUAAGUCCGCUGUGAAAGUCGGGGGCUCAACCCUCGAAUGCCGGUGGAUACUGUCGGGCUAGAGUGCGGAAGAGGCGAGUGGAAUUCCUGGUGUAGCGGUGAAAUGCGCAGAUAUCAGGAGGAACACCAAUUGCGAAGGCAGCUCGCUGGGACGUUACUGACGCUGAGACGCGAAAGCGUGGGGAGCAAACAGG